UCGAACGGCAGCGCGGGAGCAAUCCUGGCGGCGAGUGGCGAACGGGUGAGUAAUACAUCGGAACGUGCCCAAUCGUGGGGGAUAACGCAGCGAAAGCUGUGCUAAUACCGCAUACGAUCUACGGAUGAAAGCAGGGGAUCGCAAGACCUUGCGCGAAUGGAGCGGCCGAUGGCAGAUUAGGUAGUUGGUGAGGUAAAGGCUCACCAAGCCUUCGAUCUGUAGCUGGUCUGAGAGGACGACCAGCCACACUGGGACUGAGACACGGCCCAGACUCCUACGGGAGGCAGCAGUGGGGAAUUUUGGACAAUGGGCGAAAGCCUGAUCCAGCCAUGCCGCGUGCAGGAUGAAGGCCUUCGGGUUGUAAACUGCUUUUGUACGGAACGAAACGGCCUUUUCUAAUAAAGAGGGCUAAUGACGGUACCGUAAGAAUAAGCACCGGCUAACUACGUGCCAGCAGCCGCGGUAAUACGUAGGGUGCAAGCGUUAAUCGGAAUUACUGGGCGUAAAGCGUGCGCAGGCGGUUAUGUAAGACAGUUGUGAAAUCCCCGGGCUCAACCUGGGAACUGCAUCUGUGACUGCAUAGCUAGAGUACGGUAGAGGGGGAUGGAAUUCCGCGUGUAGCAGUGAAAUGCGUAGAUAUGCCGGAGGAACACCGAUGGGAAAGGCAAUCCCCCUGGACCCUGUACUGGACGCUUCA
This 697-nucleotide ribosomal RNA is filed under the name Variovorax boronicumulans. RNAcentral's name for it is "bacterial SSU rRNA". It matches the Rfam family "Bacterial small subunit ribosomal RNA", at positions 62 to 750 of the family's 1533-position model. Lineage: Bacteria; Pseudomonadati; Pseudomonadota; Betaproteobacteria; Burkholderiales; Comamonadaceae. The record is from RNAcentral.